AAUCAACGCUGGCGGCGUGCCUAACACAUGCAAGUCGAACGAGAAAGUGGAGCAAUCCAUGAGUAAAGUGGCGACCGGGUGAGUAACACGUGACUAACCUACCUUCGAAUGGGGAAUAACUCCGGGAAAUCGGGGCUAAUACCGCAUAACACCGCAAGGUCAAAGCAGCAAUGCGUUUGAAGAGGGGGUCGCGGCUGAUU
Molecule: ribosomal RNA, 200 nt
Filed under: uncultured bacterium
Lineage: Bacteria
Description: partial 16S ribosomal RNA
Rfam family: Bacterial small subunit ribosomal RNA
Source: RNAcentral